This 422-nucleotide ribosomal RNA is filed under the name uncultured bacterium. RNAcentral describes it as "bacterial SSU rRNA". It matches the Rfam family "Bacterial small subunit ribosomal RNA", at positions 355 to 774 of the family's 1533-position model. The record is from RNAcentral.
UAAGGAAUAUUGGUCAAUGGACGAAAGUCUGAACCAGCCAUGCCGCGUGAAGGAUGAGGGCCCUCUGGGUUGUAAACUUCUUUUAUAGGGGACGAAAAAAGGGCAUUCUUGCUCACUUGACGGUACCCUAGGAAUAAGCACCGGCUAACUCCGUGCCAGCAGCCGCGGUAAUACGGAGGGUGCAAGCGUUAUCCGGAUUCACUGGGUUUAAAGGGUGCGUAGGUGGGUCUGUAAGUCAGUGGUGAAAUCUCCGAGCUUAACUCGGAAACUGCCAUUGAUACUAUAGGUCUUGAAUAUCCUGGAGGUGAGCGGUAUAUGUCAUGUAGCGGUGAAAUGCUUAGAUAUGACAUAGAACACCAAUUGCGAAGGCAGCUCGCUACGGGAUUAUUGACACUGAGGCACGAAAGCGUGGGGAUCAAACA